CAGAUUCAAGGACAAAGUGCCUCUCACGCUCGUCCUCGUUCUGGGUGUGAUAACAUUAACUCACCUCCUGGCGUUCAUAGCCUUCUUUGCCAGUUCGAAACUUACUGCACAAAAUGUAACGUUGGGAUGCAUGAGACGGCACGGAAAUGCCACAUUUUGCCAAAGUUUGUACAUUACUACGACAAAUAGUGACAAGAAUAGUACUCUGAACUGGAAAGACACGGGAUGAAUGAAUGAAUAUGUACAUGUGUGGUCGUGCUAGUAAAAAUAUUGCCUCAAUUUGAAGCUUUUUGCCUGUAUUUCUUUAUUCCUCUGUGCUAAUUAGCUGAUUCCCGUUCAACUGACACAUAACAUAAUUCGAUCAACACUGGUCAACUUGGCGUACUGGACUCGUAAGUGUGCAUGCUUGUCGUCAAAUGCCAUGUCAAUGUAGCUAAAAUGCGGACCAAAAAUAAGAGAAUUAAUUCCAGGAUGGACGGCACAAACAACAGUUGUUUUAUUAAGUAUAAUUUCCUACCAUGUAAUCAGCAAUACUGAUGCUUAUUUAUUAUCCUCGUAACAUACAUAUUUAUAUUUAAUAGCAAACAAAUAAAGUUAUGACCUCUGCAUAAAAAAAUAAACUUGGUUCAAUUAAGUAAAAUUGUUAUUAAAACAAGAACAAAAACAAAGCAGGGAUGAGAAUAACAAGCUUAAGUAUGAGAUAAAUAACACGUAAUAAUAAUAUUUGAAAAUAUUAAUCAGGAAUUAUGUAGCAGCAGUAAUACAAAUAAUGAAAACAAGGAAAGAAAC
Molecule: long non-coding RNA, 789 nt
Organism: Folsomia candida
Lineage: Eukaryota; Metazoa; Arthropoda; Collembola; Entomobryomorpha; Isotomidae
Exons: 2
Source: RefSeq, a predicted model, not a curated record